AACGAACGCUGGCGGCAUGCCUAACACAUGCAAGUCGAACGAGACCUUCGGGUCUAGUGGCGCACGGGUGCGUAACACGUGGGAAUCUGCCCUUUGCUUCGGAAUAACAGUUAGAAAUGACUGCUAAUACCGGAUGAUGUCGAAAGACCAAAGAUUUAUCGGCAAAGGAUGAGCCCGCGUAGGAUUAGGUAGUUGGUGGGGUAAAGGCCUACCAAGCCGACGAUCCUUAGCUGGUCUGAGAGGAUGAUCAGCCACACUGGGACUGAGACACGGCCCAGACUCCUACGGGAAGCAGCAGUGGGGAAUAUUGGACAAUGGGCGAAAGCCUGAUCCAGCAAGGCCGCGUGAGUGAUGAAGGCCUUAGGGUUGUAAAGCUCUUUUAUCAGGGAUGAUAAUGACAGUACCUGGAGAAUAAGCUCCGGCUAACUCCGUG
This 433-nucleotide ribosomal RNA is filed under the name uncultured bacterium. RNAcentral describes it as "partial 16S ribosomal RNA". It matches the Rfam family "Bacterial small subunit ribosomal RNA", at positions 29 to 507 of the family's 1533-position model. The record is from RNAcentral.